CAAUAAGCAAAUUCCCAGCCCAAUCAAGAAAUCCAUCCAUACUUAGUUGAAAAUCAGGCCAAAUUGUCAAAGUGGCCCAAGUUGUAAAGUUUUAUUUUUAUUUUUAUUUUUAUUUAUUUAUUUAUUUAUUUACUUAUUUUAAAUUUUUAUGUCAAUAUUCAGUCCAAGAGUCCCAGAUAAAAUGACCUUUGACCGAAUUUCCAUAUUAAAAUAAUUAGGAGUUUUUUUUAUUUUAGUUUUCUAAUUAGAUUAGCAC
Molecule: long non-coding RNA, 256 nt
Filed under: Gossypium barbadense (sea-island cotton)
Lineage: Eukaryota; Viridiplantae; Streptophyta; Magnoliopsida; Malvales; Malvaceae
Description: long non-coding RNA (GBAR_LNC000606)
Source: RNAcentral